Molecule: ribosomal RNA, 257 nt
Filed under: uncultured bacterium
Lineage: Bacteria
Description: partial 16S ribosomal RNA
Rfam family: Bacterial small subunit ribosomal RNA
Source: RNAcentral
UACGGUAGGGUGCAAGCGUUGUCCGGAAUUAUUGGGCGUAAAGAGCUUGUAGGCGGUUUGUCGCGUCUGCUGUGAAAUUUCGGGGCUCAACCCCGAACUUGCAGUGGGUGACGGGCAGGACUAGAGUGUGGUAGGGGAGACUGGAAUUCCUGGUGUAGCGGUGAAAUGCGCAGAUAUCAGGAGGAACACCGAUGGCGAAGGCAGGUCUCCUGGGCCAUAACUGACGCUGAGAAGCGAAAGCAUGGGGAGCGAACAGG